UUAAUUUAAAUAUGUUUCAAUUUAAAUAUCAGAUGGAUAGACAGGUAAGGAGCUGAAAUCUUUUCAUCCACAAAGGAAAAUUCACUAAUUAAAAAAAAACAAUUAACACAUCACAUAUCAAUUUCUUUCCAAUUUAAACAUUUAAAUAAAAAAUAUAAGUAUAGUGGUGCCUUAACUUCCGAGUUUAAUUAGUUCCGAUCUCAAAUCAUCUUUCCCCACUGAAAAGAUGGGCAUGCCAUUAAUCCGUUCCAGUACCACAAAAAAUAAAACACCAACAAAAAUGUUUGUAACGUGUUUUUCAAUAAUAAAAUUAGUACUCUCCAGUAUUUUAAACUAUAAGAACAUAUAGUAAUACUAUAAUUCAGUAAAAAGAAAAGAAGUGCGUCAGGAUAUUUUCAAUGCGCUUUGUGAUACUCAUUAGUGGCCACCAGGGGGAAAUAUAAUACACAUACUCGUCGAUUUGAUGAUGAAACACGAAGACCAUUGCCACCAAGACCAAUAAACUGCGCUAAUAUUAGUCUUUUUUUGGCAGAAGGAUACAGAAUAUAUGCUUGAAUGGCUUUUACCAAAGCCCAAGUGUUUGUUUCCUUCAGAUGGCGGCUGGCUGAAAAAGGGCCUGUGUUGUAACGAAUCGGCUGCCGAGGUGACAAAUCAUCUGACGAACACUGACAGUAGCAGCGGGAAGAAAAAGAUGAGAUAAACAGGAGGUGGCCCAGCGGCGUCCUCCGUGUCUCCCUGAGCGACAUCCGGGAAGCAAUCUGCUAAUGCGGCCCCGAGGAACAAUGUGGCAAAGUUAAACGCUGGCCGGGGAAGAUCCAGAGCCACUUUCAAGCGACGAUCACCGGACUACACUGUCUGACACACUAUCAUAUGGAGCACUAUCGGGACGAAACAUCCACAUCCUACAUGAGUGUGACGCCUCUGCUGUCGCGUCAAAUCCAAAAGACAAAACCGAUGCUUCGCCUUCUUAUCAGUUCAUAUUCACACCUGCGUCAUUGGAGGGGACUGUCUCACACUCCUUUUCGGGGACCCUUAAGAGCCAACGGCAUCGUGCGUCUGUGCGUCAGUUGGCGACA
Phyllopteryx taeniolatus (common seadragon) is the source of this 1076-nucleotide long non-coding RNA. RefSeq lists it as uncharacterized. The record is from RefSeq and is a predicted model, not a curated record. NCBI's taxonomy places the organism in Eukaryota, Metazoa, Chordata, Actinopteri, Syngnathiformes, Syngnathidae. The transcript is spliced from 4 exons.